Molecule: ribosomal RNA, 379 nt
Filed under: uncultured eukaryote
Lineage: Eukaryota
Description: partial 18S ribosomal RNA
Rfam family: Eukaryotic small subunit ribosomal RNA
Source: RNAcentral
CAAUAGCGUAUAUUAAAGUUGUUGCGGUUAAAAAGCUCGUAGUUGGAUUUCUGCUGAGAACGACCGGUCCGCCCUUUGGGCGUGUAUCUGGCUCUUUCUUGGCAUCUUCUUGGUGAACGUUGCUGCACUUGACUGUGUGGAGCGCUACCCAGGACUUUUACUUUGAGGAAAUUAGAGUGUUUCAAGCAGGCAUACGCCUUGAAUACAUUAGCAUGGAAUAAUAAGAUAGGACCUCGGUUCUAUUUUGUUGGUUUCUAGAGCUGAGGUAAUGAUUAAUAGGGAUAGUUGGGGGCAUUCGUAUUUAACUGUCAGAGGUGAAAUUCUUGGAUUUGUUAAAGACGGACUACUGCGAANGNAUUUGCNAAGGAUGUUUNCAUUG